RNAcentral lists this transfer RNA (73 nucleotides) under Staphylococcus aureus. RNAcentral describes it as "tRNA-Lys". It matches the Rfam family "tRNA". From Rfam's summary of the family: Transfer RNA (tRNA) molecules are approximately 80 nucleotides in length. The record is from RNAcentral. Lineage: Bacteria; Bacillati; Bacillota; Bacilli; Caryophanales; Staphylococcaceae.
GAGCCAUUAGCUCAGCUGGUAGAGCAUCUGACUUUUAAUCAGAGGGUCAGAGUUUCGAAUCCUCUAUGGCUCA